AGAGUUUGAUCCUGGCUCAGAAUGAACGCUGGCGGCGUGCUUAACACAUGCAAGUCGCGCGCGAAAAGGGGCAACCCUGAGUAGAGCGGCGGACGGGUGAGUAACACGUGGGUAAUCUGCCUAGGAGCGGGGGAUAACCUGGGGAAACUCAGGCUAAUACCGCAUACGAUCACGGGGCUUCGGCUCUGUGCUGAAACGUGGCCUCUGCUUGCAAGCUACGACUCCUAGAGGAGCCCGCGCCUGAUUAGCUAGUUGGCGGGGUAACGGCCUACCAAGGCGACGAUCAGUAGCCGGCCUGAGAGGGCGAUCGGCCACACUGGAACUGAGACACGGUCCAGACUCCUACGGGAGGCAGCAGUGAGGAAUCUUGCGCAAUGGGGGAAACCCUGACGCAGCAACGCCGCGUGGAGGAUGAAGGUCUUCGGAUUGUAAACUCCUGUCAGAGGGGACGAAUGCUUACGGGCUAAUCACCGUGAGCUUGACGGUACCCUCAGAGGAAGCCACGGCUAACUCUGUGCCAGCAGCCGCGGUAAUACAGAGGUGGCAAGCGUUAUUCGGAAUUAUUGGGCGUAAAGGGCGCGUAGGCGGCUAGACAAGUCCCGGGUGAAAUCCCUCGGCUCAACCGAGGAACUGCCUUGGAAACUGUCUGGCUUGAGGCCGGGAGAGGGUAGUGGAAUUCCCAGUGUAGCGGUGAAAUGCGUAGAUACUGGGAGGAACACCGGUGGCGAAGGCGGCUACCUGGACCGGUUCUGACGCUGAGGCGCGAAAGCGUGGGUAGCAAACAGGAUUAGAUACCCCGGUAGUCC
Molecule: ribosomal RNA, 806 nt
Filed under: uncultured bacterium
Lineage: Bacteria
Description: bacterial SSU rRNA
Rfam family: Bacterial small subunit ribosomal RNA
Source: RNAcentral